This 253-nucleotide ribosomal RNA is filed under the name uncultured bacterium. Its description in RNAcentral is "partial 16S ribosomal RNA". It matches the Rfam family "Bacterial small subunit ribosomal RNA", at positions 524 to 776 of the family's 1533-position model. The record is from RNAcentral.
UACGGAGGGGGCUAGCGUUGUUCGGAAUUACUGGGCGUAAAGGGUGCGUAGGCGGCGUGUUAGGUCAGGCGUGAAAGCCCCGGGCUCAACCUGGGAACGGCGCUUGGGACUGGCAUGCUUGAGACCGGGAGGGGAUGGCGGAAUUCCCAGUGUAGAGGUGAAAUUCGUAGAUAUUGGGAAGAACACCGGUGGCGAAGGAGGCCAUCUGGACCGGGUAUGACGCUGAGGCACGAAAGCGUGGGGAGCAAACAGG